This 360-nucleotide transfer RNA is filed under the name uncultured Microcystis sp. RNAcentral's name for it is "partial 16S-23S ribosomal RNA intergenic spacer". The stretch from base 134 to 207 matches the Rfam family "tRNA". The record is from RNAcentral. Lineage: Bacteria; Bacillati; Cyanobacteriota; Cyanophyceae; Chroococcales; Microcystaceae.
AAAGGGAGACCUAAUUCAGGUAUAAGACGAAAAAAAAGUAGUCCCUACCAAGAAUCAAUCCCAAAAGGUCGGAACGAGGUAUGAGGCUUUCAAACUAGGUUCUGGGUUCAUAAAAGACCUGAAUCAGGAACAAGGGCUAUUAGCUCAGGUGGUUAGAGCGCACCCCUGAUAAGGGUGAGGUCCCUGGUUCGAGUCCAGGAUGGCCCACCUGCACAGGUGGCAAAAACAAGAGAAGCGAGGAAUCAGCACCUUAUCUUGUAUACAUAUAUAAGAGAGAAUGCUGGCUCUGAGUACAGAGUCCAGAGGAACCUUGAAAACUGCAUAGAGCUAGGUGAAAAAGCCAAAAAAGAAGACCGCAAG